Molecule: ribosomal RNA, 319 nt
Filed under: Clostridioides difficile
Lineage: Bacteria; Bacillati; Bacillota; Clostridia; Peptostreptococcales; Peptostreptococcaceae
Description: partial 23S ribosomal RNA
Rfam family: Bacterial large subunit ribosomal RNA
Source: RNAcentral
UGGUCAAGUUAUUAAGGGUGCAGGGUGGAUGCCUUGGCACUAGGAGCCGAUGAAGGACGUGAUAAGCUGCGAUAAGCUUCGGGGAGUUGCACGUAAACUUUGAUCCGAAGAUUUCCGAAUGAGGAAACUCACUUAGAGUAAUGUCUAAGUAUCAUUAAGUGAAUACAUAGCUUAAUGAGGGGAACUCAGGGAACUGAAACAUCUAAGUACCUGAAGGAAGAGAAAGAAAUUCGAUUCCGUAAGUAGCGGCGAGCGAACGCGGAUUAGCCCAAACCAAUAAAGUUUUCUUUAUUGGGGUUGCGGACAUAUCAUAACGAAG